AAAACGGCCCUUUGAAGGGCCACCCAACCCAUAAAGACAAGUGUAGG
This is a non-coding RNA of Macrostomum lignano, 47 nucleotides long. NCBI's taxonomy places the organism in Eukaryota, Metazoa, Platyhelminthes, Macrostomidae. The record is from Rfam.